AGUGAACGCUGGCGGUAGGCCUAACACAUGCAAGUCGAACGGCAGCACAGGAGAGCUUGCUCUCUGGGUGGCGAGUGGCGGACGGGUGAGGAAUACAUCGGAAUCUACUCUGUCGUGGGGGAUAACGUAGGGAAACUUACGCUAAUACCGCAUACGACCUACGGGUGAAAGCAGGGGACCUUCGGGCCUUGCGCGAUUGAAUGAGCCGAUGUCGGAGUAGCUAGUUGGCGGGGUAAAGGCCCACCAAGGCGACGAUCCGUAGCUGGUCUGAGAGGAUGAUAAGCCACACUGGAACUGAGACACGGUCCAGACUCCUACGGGAGGCAGCAGUGGGGAAUAUUUGACAAUGGGCGCAAGCCUGAUCCAGCCAUACCGCGUGGGUGAAGAAGGCCUUCGGGUUGUAAAGCCCUUUUGUUGGGAAAGAAAUCCAGCUGGCUAAUACCCGGUUGGGAUGACGGUACCCAAAGAAUAAGCACCGGCUAACUUCGUGCCAGCAGCCGCGGUAA
Molecule: ribosomal RNA, 506 nt
Filed under: uncultured bacterium
Lineage: Bacteria
Description: partial 16S ribosomal RNA
Rfam family: Bacterial small subunit ribosomal RNA
Source: RNAcentral